This is a long non-coding RNA of Megalobrama amblycephala (Wuchang bream), 969 nucleotides long. RefSeq lists it as uncharacterized. NCBI's taxonomy places the organism in Eukaryota, Metazoa, Chordata, Actinopteri, Cypriniformes, Xenocyprididae. The transcript has 3 exons. The record is from RefSeq and is a predicted model, not a curated record.
CGGAUCUGUUGGAUUUACAACCCGUGAAUUUAUCCACUUCUCCCGAAAUACAUGAAAGUCUCGUCCACCCGGCCCUCCUCGAGGGGGCGGGGCGGGAAUGGCCACAUUCCCUAUGCAGCUCCCAGAGUCCCGCCCAGGGUGGCGGGAAUGGUCUGUUGGACACGGCUCCUGUGUCUCCGCUCUCUCCAUGCCAGCCGUCUAAUCCACUCUCUGCCACUGGAGCGGCGGGGAGGUCUGGGCCCACCUGUUGGCGUUGCGGGGACCCGGGCCAUUUUGUGGAUAGGUGUCCUGUAAUGGAAGUGGGAACGAUGGUCUGGGUCCCGGAUGCCCCGCAGGCUGCCCCCGGUCAAGCUGGGUGGUACCAAAUACCUUAAUUGGCGUGGAGAGAGUAUUUAACGCCAGGAGAAACAGGAGCCUGCGAGAGAAGGACUACUGGCUGUCACACUCCUUGGAAUCCUGCCUGACUUUGACGGAGUGAAAUUAAUGUUUAUUUUGUGACUGUUUUGUGCCGGUCUGCACACCUUUUGAUUUCUGUGAUUAUUUUUUAAAUAAACAGCCAGUAGUCACCUGCCGACCCUGUCCUCUUCCCUUCUUAUUUCCGAACUUUGUUACAGUUAGUUUUAAAGUAACCAACAGUUUAAUGUUUGCAAAUGCCUCAUAAUUGUAUCCUAAUUUAGUUACUUGGUGUUUGGUAACGAAGGGCCUACUUUGCAUCAGCUACACUGACUCAAUGACAAACAAGUCAUUCAUAAAAAGACAAAUGAUGGCACCUGUGUUCACAGCAACUAGUUUCUAACUAAUUAAUCAUUUGAUUGUUAAUCAUAAAUAUAGGAGGCUGCUGCUCGGUAUAAUAGUUUUCAAGAACAUUAUGUAAAUUGGUAAACUAUUUAGCCUAGGCUACCAAAACAAACACCAAAACUUAAUAUGAACUCCUAAAAAUUAUAGCAAUUUACGCAAAAAAAAAAAAAU